GUGGGGAAUCUUAGACAAUGGGCGCAAGCCUGAUCUAGCCAUGCCGCGUGAGCGAUGAAGGCCUUAGGGUUGUAAAGCUCUUUCGCUGGGGAAGAUAAUGACUGUACCCAGUAAAGAAGCCCCGGCUAACUCCGUGCCAGCAGCCGCGGUAAUACGGAGGGGGCUAGCGUUGUUCGGAAUUACUGGGCGUAAAGCGCGCGUAGGCGGAUUGGAAAGUUGGGGGUGAAAUCCCGGGGCUCAACCUCGGAACUGCCUUCAAAACUCCCAGUCUUGAGUUCGAGAGAGGUGAGUGGAAUUCCGAGUGUAGAGGUGAAAUUCGUAGAUAUUCGCAAGAACACCAGUGGCGAAGGCGGCUCACUGGCCCGAUACUGACGCUGAGGUGCGAAAGCGUGGGGAGCAAACAGGAUUAGAAACCCCAGUAGUCC
This 425-nucleotide ribosomal RNA is filed under the name uncultured bacterium. Its description in RNAcentral is "bacterial SSU rRNA". It matches the Rfam family "Bacterial small subunit ribosomal RNA", at positions 354 to 796 of the family's 1533-position model. The record is from RNAcentral.